CUCCGCCUACGGGGGGCAGCAGUGGGGGAUAUUGCACAAUGGGGGAAACCCUGAUGCAGCGACGCCGCGUGAGCGAUGAAGUAUUUCGGUAUGUAAAGCUCUAUCAGCAGGGAAGAAAAUGACGGUACCUGAAUAAGAAGCCCCGGCUAACUACGUGCCAGCAGCCGCGGUAAUACGUAGGGGGCAAGCGUUAUCCGGAUUUACUGGGUGUAAAGGGAGCGCAGACGGCAGUGCAAGUCUGGAGUGAAAGCCCGGGGCCCAACCCCGGAACUGCUCUGGAAACUGUGCGGCUAGAGU
This 297-nucleotide ribosomal RNA is filed under the name uncultured bacterium. RNAcentral describes it as "partial 16S ribosomal RNA". It matches the Rfam family "Bacterial small subunit ribosomal RNA", at positions 333 to 647 of the family's 1533-position model. The record is from RNAcentral.